CCAGAAACUACCUUACUGCAUUGUCAUGCUGUUCAAAGUAGUUACCACUGUGCACUGACGACUUUCGUAGAAAAGCGUGAUUCAGUAAAACCAGGAUCUAUACGCAACGUAACUGCGUAGUGUAGAAAGUGACGGCAAGCGUGUAAAAGCGCAGAAUUGGCACUGUAUUAGUUUCGGGUUUGAGAAGUACAAAGGAUCUGUUUAAGCCGUGGCCAAGCAAGGAUGUCUAACAACAUUCCCGCUCAGUACGGGAUGGUAACUGCUGCUUAUUUCGCCUUGUUUAUGUACCGUUACAACCGAGGUCACAUAUAUACUGGUCGGAAAGCAAUCGUCAAUAUUAUGAUUCUCUUUGUGAUCGUGCAACCUUUGUGUAGAGUUGUUGGUGGUACUAACGGUCUUGUAAUGUUCUCCGCAUUGUGCAUGAGCAGCAUCAUUAUGCUCCCCACUCCUCAGGAGGAGAGGAGAGAGUGGGAGAAAGAGCAGGAGAAAAAAAACACAGCUACCGUCGCGAAAAGGAAAAAACAAAGGAACAAAGCGAAAACGUCGUAACUUGGGUAAACUGAGGUCAAAAUCUCAGGUCCCCUGGCGUGCCUCAACGAACAACCUCUUUCUUUUGCAACAGAAUCCCUCCUUUAUUCCAUACUCUGGUCACGUAACAUUGCCAUAUUUCCCGUGUUAUCAUCUAUAUCUUGUAAAGUUUCGUCUUGUGGUCUGUAGUUCUUACACGCCCAACAACACUCCUGUGUUACGUAUUACCAAAUUAUAUCCACGCCUUAAACAAAUGCUUCACUUACCCCGACUUCACCCCAACAUACUGUACAGUACAUCAUGUGACAUUUAACGUCGUCGCAUUUAACCAACGGUGACGAUUUGGUUUCUUUCACUUCGCAGAUAAGGCACCGGGAAGAACCGAUUCCGAGAACGGCGAAUAUUUUGUCGACAGUUUCGCUUCUUAUGCGCAUAGCGGUAAGAAUCGAGUGUCGUUGCUUUAAAGUAAGAAGUGUUGGGAAAAAAUAGUUUUUUUUAUUGCGUUAUAUUGUACUUACUCUCAGUCUAAAAUUUUGGGCCAAUUUCUGCACAGUCAUCCUGACGUGGUACAGAUGGUUUUUCCUACGCCUCAUGACGUCACUGUACAGAAAAAUGAUUCGUUUUUUCUCGCGUCUUCUGUAAGCAACGGAGGCGACCACGUGGCGUAAACGUAGCGCGUAUGCGUCACCUAGCGUCGUCAGGAGAAGCACUCCGUACAUUCCGACUAUCCAGUAGAUGUCGCUGUUGGGUAAUUGUCUGGCGACAGGCAGACAGCCUGAAAUUAUAAUUGUCAGUAUAUUCUGUAUAAGAUAAAUAAAAUCAAACUCACUC
Molecule: non-coding RNA, 1359 nt
Organism: Ciona intestinalis (vase tunicate)
Lineage: Eukaryota; Metazoa; Chordata; Ascidiacea; Phlebobranchia; Cionidae
Source: RefSeq, a predicted model, not a curated record